CUACGGGACGCAGCAGUCGAGAAUCUUCGGCAAUGGACGAAAGUCUGACCGAGCGACGCCGCGUGUGGGAUGAAGGCCUUCGGGUUGUAAACCACUGUCAGUUGGGAGGAAAUUCAUAGGGGUUCUCUCCUAUGAUUGACUUAUCUUCAGAGGAAGACCGGGCUAAGUUCGUGCCAGCAGCCGCGGUAAGACGAACCGGUCGAACGUUAUUCGGAAUCAUUGGGCUUAAAGGGUGCGUAGGCGGUGCGGAAAGUUGAGUGUGAAAUCCCUCGGCUCAACCGAGGAAUUGCGCCCAAAACUACCGUGGUAGAGGGAGACAGAGGUGAGUGGAACGGAUGGUGGAGCGGUGAAAUGCGUUGAUAUCAUCAGGAACACCAGUGGCGAAAGCGACUCACUGGGUCUCAUCUGACGCUGAGGCACGAAAGCUAGGGGAGCGAACGGGAUUAGAUACCCGGGUAGUC
Molecule: ribosomal RNA, 461 nt
Filed under: uncultured bacterium
Lineage: Bacteria
Description: partial 16S ribosomal RNA
Rfam family: Bacterial small subunit ribosomal RNA
Source: RNAcentral